CGGGAAACCGGAGCUAAUACCGGAUAAUAUUCGAACCGCAUGGUUCGAUAGUGAAAGGUGGUUUUGCUAUCACUUAUAGAUGGACCCGCGCCGUAUUAGCUAGUUGGUAAGGUAACGGCUUACCAAGGCGACGAUACGUAGCCGACCUGAGAGGGUGAUCGGCCACACUGGAACUGAGACACGGUCCAGACUCCUACGGGAGGCAGCAGCG
This 211-nucleotide ribosomal RNA is filed under the name uncultured Staphylococcus sp. RNAcentral describes it as "partial 16S ribosomal RNA". It matches the Rfam family "Bacterial small subunit ribosomal RNA", at positions 150 to 356 of the family's 1533-position model. Lineage: Bacteria; Bacillati; Bacillota; Bacilli; Caryophanales; Staphylococcaceae. The record is from RNAcentral.